This 450-nucleotide long non-coding RNA is filed under the name Homo sapiens (human). RNAcentral describes it as "non-protein coding lnc-HNRNPH3-3:1". Lineage: Eukaryota; Metazoa; Chordata; Mammalia; Primates; Hominidae. The record is from RNAcentral.
GAAUACAGGCAUGAGCCACCAUGCCGAGCUUCCUAACUCUUUUAAACAAUUAAAUGGCUAGACUCAUCACCAAGACAGAUCCAAAAAAAAAAAAAAAAAAAAGGAAACACAGAACACAUCCCCAGGUUCUCUUCUAUGGAGCUUUACUUUUCAGGCCAUACAAACCUGUAAUGAAGCAAAAGGACUUUCUUAUUCAUUUCAUUCCCAGGAACUAAAAUUACCAUCAGAUUCCUUCCUGAUUUAUACUCUCAUUAUAUCUAACCAAUAUUUAAGUUCAUCACAGCAACCUUUCCCGUUUGUCCUAUCUAAUCUAUAACCCCUCUCCAUGAUCAAGCCCAUCCUGUGUGCCCUUCAUAAAUCUCUUUAUAAUAUCAAUGCUGCUUGGUUUCAGCUUUCUAGCAUGAUCAAUACUUCACUUGUCACUAUCAGAAAACAUGCGGCCGGGCGCGG